Molecule: ribosomal RNA, 844 nt
Filed under: uncultured Acidobacteriota bacterium
Lineage: Bacteria; Pseudomonadati; Acidobacteriota
Description: bacterial SSU rRNA
Rfam family: Bacterial small subunit ribosomal RNA
Source: RNAcentral
AGAGAUCAUGGCUCAGAAUCAACGCUGGCGGCGUGCCUCAGACAUGCAAGUCGAACGAUUAAAGCUCCCUUCGGGGAGUGUAUAGAGUGGCGCACGGGUGAGUAACACGUAAGUAAUCUACCUUUGAGUGGGGAAUAACAUCGGGAAACCGAUGCUAAUACCGCAUAAUGCAGCGGCACCGCAAGGUGACAGUUGUUAAAGGAGCAAUUCGCUUGAAGAGGAGCUUGCGGCAGAUUAGCUAGUUGGUAAGGUAAUGGCUUACCAAGGCUACGAUCUGUAUCCGGUCUAAGAGGACGGUCGGACACACUGACACUGAAUAACGGGUCAGACUCCUACGGGAGGCAGCAGUCGGGAAUUUUGGGCAAUGGGCGAAAGCCUGACCCAGCAACGCCGCGUGAAGGAUGAAGUAUUUCGGUAUGUAAACUUCGAAAGAAUGGGAAGAAUAAAUGACGGUACCAUUUAUAAGGUCCGGCUAACUACGUGCCAGCAGCCGCGGUAAUACGUAGGGACCAAGCGUUGUUCGGAUUUACUGGGCGUAAAGGGCGCGUAGGCGGCGUGGUAAGUCACUUGUGAAAUCUCUGAGCUUAACUCAGAACGGUCAAGUGAUACUGCUGUGCUAGAGUGCAGAAGGGGCAAUCGGAAUUCUUGGUGUAGCGGUGAAAUGCGUAGAUAUCAAGAGGAACACCUGAGGUGAAGACGGGUUGCUGGGCUGACACUGACGCUGAGGCGCGAAAGCCAGGGGAGCAAACGGGAUUAGAUACCCCGGUAGUCCUGGCCCUAACGAUGAAUACUUGGUGUCUGGAGUUUUAAUGCUCCGGGUGCCGUCCCUAACGUUUUAAGUAUU